AUGUGCACUUAUUAUAUUCAAACAAAUUUUAGUAUAAAAUUGAUUUUAACAAUUUUGCUAGAAGUAGGCUGCCUAAAUUUCAAAUUUGGGUCAGUCGAUUUGCAUUGGGAACGAAGGAGGCACGCGGAGCACCAAGGAAUGAGCCGUUGCGAGCCCAAAACAGACGGUUCAAGGUGUAGGCUUGCUAGAAAAUUUUGGUGGUUCGCCAGUUUAGAGGGAUGGCCGAGCGGCGACAGUGAGGGGGGGAUGGGGUGGCAAGGCUGGUACAUGUGCGCUUGCCAGCCAAGCGGUUCAACUGGUGGAUGA
Molecule: ribosomal RNA, 306 nt
Filed under: Triticum aestivum (bread wheat)
Lineage: Eukaryota; Viridiplantae; Streptophyta; Magnoliopsida; Poales; Poaceae
Description: partial small subunit ribosomal RNA
Source: RNAcentral